GUUCUGCAGACUACUAACAUGAUCUAAUUUUGAGUUUGCUUUGGAAAAGAAGUGUGUUUUUCUUUUUAAACCCUUUUGGAUGUGACAGUACCAAUUUUUACCCUUGACUUCUGCAACAACCCUCCCUUCCUUCCCUGCUCUCAGAAUACCCCUCCUGCACAGCAUCCUCUGCUCCUCCAUCCUGCAGGAGCUGUGUACACUUGGAUAGAGGAUCAAUCACCAUAAUAGCUGUUGUCUUCAAGGUUUAUUAAUGCUUUCCAACUGAAUUCCUGUUUUCCUGCUAAUAACCCUUCCCGUGGAACACUUUUGUGGAUACACAAUUAUUCAUGUGGCAAACUUGCCACUCGAAUGCUGGUAGGUAGUUAGUAAGCUUUGCAUCCAACCAGAAGCAAGUCAUUUUUAAUUUCUGCAAUAGGCUUGAAGCUGGGAUUAUUGCAUUGCAGGAUUUUUACUUAAAGCAACACUUUGGAAGGAGGAACAGCUGCUGUCUGUUGAGGGAAUGAGGGGGCACAGGUGCUCCCCAUAGAGAUUCAUUUGGUCCCACAGUCCAUAUUAGUAGGCUGGUAUCUCCAGUUAUGUUUGCAGAGCUGUAACUGGAAGUGCUGAAGGUCUAAAAUGAAGAGAGUGAAGAGAGGAAGCCAGCGCCUCUCUCAAAGGCUGCAUUGCUGUGGCCAACAUAUCCUUCUUCUAGACAACUGAAUAUGGAAAAGAAUACAAAAGCAGAGCCUGUCAGUCACCCCUGGGUGGCUGUCAGCAUCUGGAAGGAUGGGUGCAGAAGUCAAGAGCAGCCGUCUUCAUCCAGUCACCUGUGUGCCUGAGUCAGAGAAGCUGCUGCUACCUGAGAAAUGAACAAACAGCGCCUUCAAAAAGUCUGGGAAGAAACAAAGACAUUUGAACCAUUUGCACAACACAGAAGCUCUCCAGCACGAGUCCUUAAAGGGCUGGAGGUUUGCUGGGGAAGCUUUGAGGAGGAGAGUCAUAAAGAAUAG
Long non-coding RNA from Numida meleagris (helmeted guineafowl), 989 nucleotides. The record is from Ensembl. Lineage: Eukaryota; Metazoa; Chordata; Aves; Galliformes; Numididae.